This 747-nucleotide ribosomal RNA is filed under the name uncultured bacterium. RNAcentral's name for it is "bacterial SSU rRNA". It matches the Rfam family "Bacterial small subunit ribosomal RNA", at positions 68 to 820 of the family's 1533-position model. The record is from RNAcentral.
UUAUUCUGAUUUCUUCGGAAUGAAAAAUUUCCUGUACUGAGUGGCGGACGGGUGAGUAACGCGUGGGUAACCUGCCUCAUACAGGGGGAUAACAGUUAGAAAUGACUGCUAAUACCGCAUAAGACCACAGCACCGCAUGGUGCAGGGGCAAAAACUCCGGUGGUAUGAGAUGGACCCGCGUCUGAUUAGGUAGUUGGUGGGGUAACGGCCUACCAAGCCGACGAUCAGUAGCCGACCUGAGAGGGUGACCGGCCACAUUGGGACUGAGACACGGCCCAAACUCCUACGGGAGGCAGCAGUGGGGAAUAUUGCACAAUGGGGGAAACCCUGAUGCAGCGACGCCGCGUGAGCGAUGAAGUAUUUCGGUAUGUAAAGCUCUAUCAGCAGGGAAGAAAAUGACGGUACCUGACUAAGAAGCACCGGCUAAAUACGUGCCAGCAGCCGCGGUAAUACGUAUGGUGCAAGCGUUAUCCGGAUUUACUGGGUGUAAAGGGAGCGUAGACGGAGUGGCAAGUCUGAUGUGAAAACCCGGGGCUCAACCCCGGGACUGCAUUGGAAACUGUCAAUCUGGAGUACCGGAGAGGUAAGCGGAAUUCCUAGUGUAGCGGUGAAAUGCGUAGAUAUUAGGAGGAACACCAGUGGCGAAGGCGGCUUACUGGACGGUAACUGACGUUGAGGCUCGAAAGCGUGGGGAGCAAACAGGAUUAGAUACCCUGGUAGUCCACGCCGUAAACGAUGACUACUAAG